GGAAAGCCCAGACGGCAAGGGAUGGGGUCGCGGCCCAUUAGGUAGACGGCGGGGUAACGGCCCACCGUGCCCGCGAUGGGUAGCCGGGUUGAGAGACCGAUCGGCCACAUUGGGACUGAGAUACGGCCCAGACUCCUACGGGAGGCAGCAGUGGGGAAUUCGGCGCAAUGGGGGAAACCCUGACGCAGCAACGCCGCGUGCGGGACGAAGGCCUUCGGGUUGUAAACCGCUUUCAGCAGGGAAUAUAGUGAAGGUACCUGCAGAAGAAGCUCCGGCUAACUACGUGCCAGCAGCCGCGGUAAUACGUAGGGAGCGAGCGUUAUCCGGAUUCAUUGGGCGUAAAGCGCACGUAGGCGGCCCGUCAAGCGGGGUUUCAAAUCCAGGGGCUCAACCUCUGGCCGGACCCCGAACUGGCGGGCUCGAGUGCGGUAGAGGAAGGUGGAAUUCCCAGUGUAGCGGUGAAAUGCGCAGAUAUUGGGAAGAACACCGAUGGCGAAGGCAGCCUUCUGGGCCGCCACUGACGCUGAGGCGCGAAAGCUAGGGGAGCGAACAGGAUUAGAUACCCUGGUAGUCCUAGCCGUAAACGAUGAACGCUAGGUGUGGGGGAGCAUCUCCUCCGUGCC
RNAcentral lists this ribosomal RNA (623 nucleotides) under uncultured bacterium. RNAcentral describes it as "bacterial SSU rRNA". It matches the Rfam family "Bacterial small subunit ribosomal RNA", at positions 201 to 847 of the family's 1533-position model. The record is from RNAcentral.